UGCCAGCAGCCGCGGUAAGACGGAGGGUGCAAGCGUUAUCCGAAUUCACUGGGUUUAAAGGGUACGUAGGCGGUCUUGUAAGUCGAUGGUGAAAACUAGCAGCUCAACUGCUAACGUGCCAUCGAUACUGCUUGACUUGAGUAUAGUCGAGGUGGGCGGAAUUCUACAUGUAGCGGUGAAAUGCAUAGAUAUGUAGAGGAACACCAAUAGCGAAGGCAGCUCACUAGACUAUUACUGACGCUGAGGUACGAAAGCGUGGGGAGCAAACAGGAUUAGAUA
This 279-nucleotide ribosomal RNA is filed under the name uncultured bacterium. Its description in RNAcentral is "partial 16S ribosomal RNA". It matches the Rfam family "Bacterial small subunit ribosomal RNA", at positions 506 to 784 of the family's 1533-position model. The record is from RNAcentral.